This 430-nucleotide long non-coding RNA is filed under the name Mytilus galloprovincialis (Mediterranean mussel). The record is from RNAcentral. Lineage: Eukaryota; Metazoa; Mollusca; Bivalvia; Mytilida; Mytilidae.
UGAAAAGAUGCAAAGGGAAAUAAAAUAGUAAAGAUCACAACGUAUUGAUCAUCCUGUUAAAUCUACAGAAUCUGCUGAGGUAUUUGGUUAUAACAUACUCAAAAUGUGUUUUAACCAAUGACUUGGGGUUGAAAAAUAUCAACCUUCAUAAGAAUAACCUUCCGUUUCAGAAGAUAGCUUAUCGUGCACCGAUUCCACAAACAUCUAAUUUGUAGAUCUUUUAAUUGAGCUAAGGGAGAUAAUCAGCUACUUCGUCUAAAUAUCACUUUCGGUGUGAACUUAUUUUCAACUUUUAUCAGAUUCAAAAAGAAAAUGUUCGUAUAUUUUUUAAUAAGGGAGAUAAUGUGUAGCUUCCGAUGUAUGUAGUUAUUUGAAAGGUAAGUUUUACCUAUUCCUAAUGUAUAAUUAUAUAUGAAAUGAUUAAAAGAAU